Molecule: ribosomal RNA, 413 nt
Filed under: uncultured bacterium
Lineage: Bacteria
Description: bacterial SSU rRNA
Rfam family: Bacterial small subunit ribosomal RNA
Source: RNAcentral
UGGGGAAUAUUGCACAAUGGGCGGAAGCCUGAUGCAGCGACGCCGCGUGAGGGAUGACGGCCUUCGGGUUGUAAACCUCUUUCAGCAGGGAAGAAGCUUUUAUCGGUGACGGUACCUGCAGAAGAAGCACCGGCUAACUACGUGCCAGCAGCCGCGGUAAUACGUAGGGUGCGAGCGUUGUCCGGAAUUAUUGGGCGUAAAGAGCUCGUAGGCGGCGUGUCACGUCGGAUGUGAAAGCCCGGGGCUUAACCCCGGGUCUGCAUUCGAUACGGGCUCGCUAGAGUUCGGUAGGGGAGAUCGGAAUUCCUGGUGUAGCGGUGAAAUGCGCAGAUAUCAGGAGGAACACCGGUGGCGAAGGCGGAUCUCUGGGCCGAUACUGACGCUGAGGAGCGAAAGCGUGGGGAGCGAACAGG